Molecule: non-coding RNA, 69 nt
Organism: Rattus norvegicus (Norway rat)
Lineage: Eukaryota; Metazoa; Chordata; Mammalia; Rodentia; Muridae
Source: Rfam
GGGGAUUUAGCUCAGUGGGAGAGCGCUUGCCUAGCAAGCACAAGGCCCUGGGUUCGGUCCCCAGCUCCG